RNAcentral lists this ribosomal RNA (292 nucleotides) under uncultured Methylobacterium sp. RNAcentral's name for it is "partial 16S ribosomal RNA". It matches the Rfam family "Bacterial small subunit ribosomal RNA", at positions 505 to 796 of the family's 1533-position model. Lineage: Bacteria; Pseudomonadati; Pseudomonadota; Alphaproteobacteria; Hyphomicrobiales; Methylobacteriaceae. The record is from RNAcentral.
GUCCCAGCAGCCGCGGUAAUACGAAGGGGGCUAGCGUUGCUCGGAAUCACUGGGCGUAAAGGGCGCGUAGGCGGCGUUUUAAGUCGGGGGUGAAAGCCUGUGGCUCAACCACAGAAUGGCCUUCGAUACUGGGACGCUUGAGUAUGGUAGAGGUUGGUGGAACUGCGAGUGUAGAGGUGAAAUUCGUAGAUAUUCGCAAGAACACCGGUGGCGAAGGCGGCCAACUGGACCAUUACUGACGCUGAGGCGCGAAAGCGUGGGGAGCAAACAGGAUUAGAUACCCCGGUAGUCC